UACGGAGGGUGCAAGCGUUGUUCGGAAUUACUGGGCGUAAAGCGCGCGCAGGCGGUUUGUUAAGUCAGAUGUGAAAGCCCAUGGCUCAACCAUGGACGUGCAUUUGAAACUGGCAAGCUUGAGUAGUGGAGGGGGUGGUGGAAUUCCCGGUGUAGAGGUGAAAUUCGUAGAUAUCGGGAGGAAUACCGGUGGCGAAGGCGACCACCUGGCCACAUACUGACGCUGAGGCGCGAAAGCGUGGGGAGCAAACAGGAUUAGAUACCCUGGUAGUCCACGCCGUAAACGAUGUCAACUAGGUGUUGGGACGGUUAAUCGUCUCAUUGCCGCAGCUAACGCAUUAAGUUGACCGCCUGGGGAGUACGGUCGCAAGAUUAAAACUCAAAGGAGUUGACGGGGGCCCGCACAAGCGGUGGAGCAUGUGGUUUAAUUC
Molecule: ribosomal RNA, 430 nt
Filed under: uncultured bacterium
Lineage: Bacteria
Description: bacterial SSU rRNA
Rfam family: Bacterial small subunit ribosomal RNA
Source: RNAcentral